RNAcentral lists this ribosomal RNA (298 nucleotides) under 2,4-D degrading bacterium B6-9. RNAcentral's name for it is "partial small subunit ribosomal RNA". The record is from RNAcentral. Lineage: Bacteria; Pseudomonadati; Pseudomonadota; Betaproteobacteria; Burkholderiales; Comamonadaceae.
CCGGUGCUUAUUCUUACGGUACCGUCAUUAGCCCCCUGUAUUAGAGAGAACCGUUUCGUUCCGUACAAAAGCAGUUUACAACCCGAAGGCCUUCAUCCUGCACGCGGCAUUGCUGGAUCAGGCUUGCGCCCAUUGUCCAAAAUUCCCCACUGCUGCCUCCCGUAGGAGUCUGGACCGUGUCUCAGUUCCAGUGUGGCUGGUCGUCCUCUCAGACCAGAUACAGAUCGUCGGCUUGGUAGGCUUCCACCCCACCAACUAGCUAAUCUGAUAUCGGCCGCUCCAAUCGCGCGAGGUCUUG